Molecule: ribosomal RNA, 1293 nt
Filed under: Triticum aestivum (bread wheat)
Lineage: Eukaryota; Viridiplantae; Streptophyta; Magnoliopsida; Poales; Poaceae
Description: partial small subunit ribosomal RNA
Source: RNAcentral
AUGGUGUUGUGGAUGCAAGGCGUCGUCGCCGAGGAGCUCAUGGACGUCGUGGCGUCCCCGGACAGCACCACCUAUGACAUCUGGACCCAGCUCCACGUCCUCUUCAUGGACAAUCAGCCGGGCCGCGCCGUCAUCCUCGGCGCCGAGUUCCAGAACCUCGUCCAGGGCGACCUCUCCGUCGCCGAAUACAGCCGAAGGCUCAAGUCCCUGGCCGACGCUCUCGAGGACAUCGGCGAGCACAUCUCCGAUCAGGCCCUCACGCUCCAGCUCAUCCGCGGCCUCAACCGCAAGUUUCAGAUCAUGGCGACGCUCCUCUCGAUGCAGUCGCCGUUCCCCUCCUUCGUGCAGGCCCGCUCUCGCCUCCUCAUGGAGGAGAUCUCUGCCAACGAGCGGGCUCGACUGGACAGCCGUCCGGAACUCCCAGCCACUGCGCUCACCAUCGGGCACGGGCCGAGUGGUGGCUCCUCUCCCUCCCCUGAUUGCGGAUCAGGCAGCGACUCCGUCAACAAGGGCAAGGGCGCCGCUGCAUCUCCCACGGGCGACAGGGGCAGUGGCUCGCGCGGGCGUGGGCGCGGUCGUGGUCGCGGCCGCGGCGGCCAAUUGUCUGGUGGCGCUCCCGCUGGGCGCGGCGCCGCUCCGGCCGGGCCGCAGCCCCCGACUGGCUUCUUCGCUCCAUACGGCGCCCUCCUCCCCGGCCUGCCUGCACCACGGGCCCCUUGGGCUGCGCCGAACGCCGCCGGCGUCCUAGGCCCACGUCCUCCUGCACCGCAUCAGGCCUACUCCGUGCCCUCGACGUCUUCAAGCAGGCCUACCUGGGAGCAGUAUAAUCAGCUGUACGCUGCUCUCCAGGGCCUCUCCAUGCUGCAGCAGCACGUCGGCGGCACGCCGGACUGGUUCCUCGACACGGGCGCUACGUCGCACGUCGCUAGUAAGACGGACCUCCUCACCUCGUAUGGUUCUCCCCCAUUGCGUCAUUCCUCUGGCAUCUUAGUAGGCAACGGUUCUCGUCUCCCCAUUACAGCCGUAGGUUCUACCUCUCUUUCAACUUUUGCACUGAAUGACGUCCUUAUAUCUCCUACCAUCAUCAAGAACUUAAUUUCUAUACGUCGUUUCACUCAAGAUAAUUUUUGCUUAAUCACGUUUGACCCAUUCGGUUUUUCCAUGAAGGACCUAGCCACGGGGAAGCUAAUCAUGAGGUCCAAUAGCCAUGGGGACCUCUAUCCUUUUUUCAACAACUCCGGCGUUCAAGCAGUGCUCUCCGUCGCCACAGAUGACAUAUGGCAUCUUCGUUAG